Molecule: ribosomal RNA, 329 nt
Filed under: uncultured eukaryote
Lineage: Eukaryota
Description: partial 18S ribosomal RNA
Rfam family: Eukaryotic small subunit ribosomal RNA
Source: RNAcentral
CCCUUAGACGUUCUGGGCCGCACGCGCGCUACACUGACCAGUGCAACAAGCAUCCGUCCUUGGCCGACAGGCCCGGGCAAUCUUUGAACGCUGGUCGUGAUGGGGAUAGACUUUUGCAAUUUUUGGUCUUCAACGAGGAAUUCCUAGUAAACGCAAGUCAUCAACUUGCAUUGAUUACGUCCCUGCCCUUUGUACACACCGCCCGUCGCUCCUACCGAUUGAACGUUCCGAUGAAUACCAUGGAUUGAGAGUCUGAAUGGGUUCGCCUAUUUCUGCUUCUCGAGAAGUGGAGUAAAUCUUAGCGUUUAGAGGAAGGAGAAGUCGUAACA